GAGGGUAUAGCUCCGUGAUAGAGUGUGUGCUUAGCAUGCACAAGGUCCUGGGUUCAAUCCCCAGCACCUCCG
RNAcentral lists this transfer RNA (72 nucleotides) under Camelus bactrianus (Bactrian camel). It matches the Rfam family "tRNA". From Rfam's summary of the family: Transfer RNA (tRNA) molecules are approximately 80 nucleotides in length. Their secondary structure includes four short double-helical elements and three loops (D, anti-codon, and T loops). The record is from Rfam by way of RNAcentral. Lineage: Eukaryota; Metazoa; Chordata; Mammalia; Artiodactyla; Camelidae. RNAcentral also lists the same sequence under 1 other name.